GACGAACGCUGGCGGCGUGCCUAAUACAUGCAGGUAGAACGCACAGUUUAUACCGUAGCUUGCUACACCAUAGACUGUGAGUUGCGAACGGGUUAGUAACGCGUAGGUAACCUGCCUGGUAGCGGGGGAUAACUAUUGGAAACGAUAGCUAAUACCGCAUAAUAUUAAUUAUUGCAUGAUAAUUAACUGCAAGGUGCAAUUGCAUCACUACUAGAUGGACCUGCGUUGUAUUAGCUAGUAGGUGAGGUAACGGCUCACCUAGGCGACGAUACAUAGCCGACCUGAGAGGGUGGUCGGCCACACUGGGAGGGAGACACGGCCCAGACUCCUACGGGAAGCAGCAGUAGGGAAACGUCGGCAAGGGACGAAAGUCUGACCGAGCAACGCCGCGUGAGUGAAGAAGGUGUUCGGAUCGUAAAGCUCUGUUGUAAGAGAAGAACGGGUGUGAGAGUGGAAAGUUCACACAGUGACGGUAUCGUACCAGAAAGCGACGGCUAACUACGUG
RNAcentral lists this ribosomal RNA (505 nucleotides) under uncultured bacterium. RNAcentral describes it as "partial 16S ribosomal RNA". It matches the Rfam family "Bacterial small subunit ribosomal RNA", at positions 28 to 507 of the family's 1533-position model. The record is from RNAcentral.